AAGACUAUACUUUCAGGGAUCAUUUCUAUAGUAUGUAAUCUGGCAAUCUUGUAACCUUAUUAUUAACUACAAAUAAAAAUAUGAAAAAAAGAAACCAUGUCUUUU
RNAcentral lists this small nucleolar RNA (105 nucleotides) under Erinaceus europaeus (western European hedgehog). RNAcentral describes it as "Small nucleolar RNA U3 (ENSEEUG00000022762.1)". It matches the Rfam family "Small nucleolar RNA U3", at positions 1 to 103 of the family's 219-position model. Rfam says of the family: Small nucleolar RNAs (snoRNAs) are involved in the processing and modification of rRNA in the nucleolus. There are two main classes of snoRNAs: the box C/D class, and the box H/ACA class. The record is from RNAcentral. Lineage: Eukaryota; Metazoa; Chordata; Mammalia; Eulipotyphla; Erinaceidae.